Molecule: non-coding RNA, 1145 nt
Organism: Phalacrocorax carbo (great cormorant)
Lineage: Eukaryota; Metazoa; Chordata; Aves; Suliformes; Phalacrocoracidae
Source: RefSeq, a predicted model, not a curated record
CCCCUACAAACACUGGAAUGUAGAGGCUGAACGGUUGUGUUGUUGUUGUUUUAUGGGUUUUUUUUUGUUUUGUUGAGUUUGGUUUGUUGGGGUUUUUUUUAAUUAUCCAAGAGGCAAAAAAUCCAGUCCCUGUUCCAUCCUCACCUCUUCCCCUCCUCUCUCCAAUGCAAACCCUGAAGCGAACUCCCAAGUCAGAACGCCCUGGGAGCGGGCAUCCAGCCAGGCUUCCCUGAGGAGGCAGGCUGCUGCCUCAGCCUCACCCCCACACAGGGCAGCAGCAACAAUCCCUCCUUCCCCGGCCCUGUUCGCCAAAAAAAGGUGAACCCAAGGCCCUGCUGUAAUUGCCAGGCAGUGUCUUUGGCUUGAUCUAGGUCCCUUACACAGGGAAAAAUCAACUGCAGUGGCUUUAAACGUACUAGAGCUUGUUGCUGUUUGCAGGCCUCCUAGGCAUACAGAUUGCAGGAGACAAUUUACGGUUUUCUUCCAGGAAUCCUGUCCCAGCCCUACUGCAGUCGGGGAACGCGUCAAGCAAGGGCGAGUUGCGCGCUGCGCUUGAGAUAGCCAACCGAAGAGCUGCCAACCAGACCAUUACAAAAUACAAAGCAUUAGAAGCAAAUGCCAUCCCUUUCAGGGCCUGUUAAACAGAAGGUGACCCCAAUUCCUUGAAAAUAAGCCUUCCAAAACUCCAGAAAAGCAAGAAAAUUCCCUUGCUGCAGGCUACCUGGCUUUGGAAGAGACAGAAGUGGGACUGGACUUCACAGGUGUUUCUGAAAUGGCACCUCAAGAUACAACUUCUACACUUGUAUAGUUAGUCCCAGAAUGCAAGAACAUGAACCUAAGUCCUAAAGCACUCAAUACUCUUCCCUCAGAAACGACCCUUGUAAGCCAGCCACCCAAAUACUGAUAUUGAUACACACACACACACACAUAUAUAAAAUGAUACCUUUUACAAGCAGGAGACCUGUUUCUGUGCAGACAUGAGGUGGGAAUCAGAGCAUUCCAGGUGCAGCACAGUUCCUGCACCCAUCACUUGUUUCCGUUACUAAGCUGAGCCAGAGCAACCAUUGUGAACAACCAGAGCUGUCACCCCCAACACUUUGGUGCUGCCAUUGCAAGGUACCAGAGCCCAAAACAUAUGCCAAAAA